Molecule: ribosomal RNA, 253 nt
Filed under: uncultured bacterium
Lineage: Bacteria
Description: partial 16S ribosomal RNA
Rfam family: Bacterial small subunit ribosomal RNA
Source: RNAcentral
UACGAAGGGGGCUAGCGUUGUUCGGAAUUACUGGGCGUAAAGCGCACGUAGGCGGAUACUUAAGUCAGGGGUGAAAUCCCGGGGCUCAACCCCGGAACUGCCUUUGAUACUGGGUAUCUCGAGUCCGGAAGAGGUGAGUGGAAUUCCGAGUGUAGAGGUGAAAUUCGUAGAUAUUCGGAAGAACACCAGUGGCGAAGGCGGCUCACUGGCCCGAUACUGACGCUGAGGCACGAAAGCGUGGGGAGCAAACAGG